CGUAACAUGAGAUUUUUUAAUUUAUUUGCUCUAACGUACAAACAUGCUCAAUAAUCAAUUACAAAGACAACUGAUUUCUUGUACUAAAAAUUUGAAAAAAAAAAAUAUGUAUCAAAAAAGUUAGAAAAGAUCAACAAAUUGAAUUAGAAAUACAAAUAUUAGUGCAUGUUUGGCUGAGCUUAGAAAGCAGCUUAUUAGCUGCUUAACUUUGCUUAACAUCAUCAUAUGCUUAUUUUAUCUUAGUCCAAAGAAGCAGCUUAGAGCUACUUUAAAGCUUAGCCAAACAUGCCCUAAGAGUUCAUCAGUUGUCGUGUUGAGUUGUGUUCGGCAGUCUCCACUGUAAAGCAACAGAAAAUGGAUUGAACAAUGAAAUCAAACACCAUUCUCUUCACCAGCCUCCUCUUUGCCGGAAAAACAGUUUCUUUCUUGGGCUUGAACGCUGGCUGCGCCGCCACUUCCGCCACCGCAGACCUUGCCUUUUUCUCUGUUGCAACCGCAACCACAAUCACCACCUCUUCGGCCACCAUCACUGCUUCUUCACUCUUUUUUCUUCACUACUAACCUUUAUGCAUAAUUGACCAUAUAAAUUCAUGAUCUAAAGUAGCUUAAUGAGGAAGGAACUUCUUGAAGGGUAGAGUGAUGUGUGGCGUUGGACAGAAUCUAGAAUAUUUGGAUCCGUUUGGAUUUCGUAUGUUGUAAAUGACAGUUGUAAAACACAAGCCAAG
RNAcentral lists this long non-coding RNA (725 nucleotides) under Olea europaea (common olive). RNAcentral describes it as "long non-coding RNA (OEUR_LNC002676)". Lineage: Eukaryota; Viridiplantae; Streptophyta; Magnoliopsida; Lamiales; Oleaceae. The record is from RNAcentral.